Panthera uncia (snow leopard) is the source of this 3501-nucleotide long non-coding RNA. RefSeq lists it as uncharacterized. The record is from RefSeq and is a predicted model, not a curated record. NCBI's taxonomy places the organism in Eukaryota, Metazoa, Chordata, Mammalia, Carnivora, Felidae. The transcript is spliced from 3 exons.
GCCCUCGGGCAUCACACAGACACCCCCGAACAAGCAGACGUGGGGUUAUCAGGAGUGCCUUUACUCACAGUGCCCUUUCCAACCCCGAGCAGUCCCGGAAGAUGGUUCUCCCCUAGCUUCUUUACCCUGACUGCUACACAUCAUUGGCAUCCAGUGUCUUCACUUCCUCGCUGGCCUUGACCCAGAGCCUCCCGGUCAGAGCCUCAGACUCUAGUCGGAGGAGGGCACCUGGCUUCUCAGAAGUGGUGGAAGGGGAGGCAGGAGGCAGUCAUGGGUGCUCAAGGGUCAGCUCCACACAUCUCCACCCACCAUUCCCAGGGGCUCUGCCUGCCUUUCUCGCAGCUCUGACCUUCAGGAAGCUUCUCCUUGUCUUAAGCAGAAAUCUGUUUGCCUGGUUCCCACUCCACACUAUUCCUGCCCCAGAGGUAUUCUUAGCUCCCCCUUGUGAGCAGUGUGGAGUAAGACCUCUGUCUUCUCCCGACACACGCAGUCCCUUGGUCCCCUGGCCCCUCAGUGCCACACACCAGAGUUGGCCUUCACCGCUGACUCCCUGUCUCCUGAGGCAGACCUGUGCCCUCUUGGAGCCACUAAGCAGGCAGUGUUGCCUCCCCAUGGUCUCCCGAGUCCUCCCAGCCUUGUGCUGGGAGGGCCAGAGCAGAGGAGGGGAGACGGUCCCCAGGCUGCUCAGCAUCUCCUGUCCCCCACCCCACCCCCACCAGAGCAGCUCGCUGCUGUUUUGUGUUGUGGCUUCCUUGUAAGCUUCUAUCUGAUAAAAGGCUCUGGUAGACAAAAGAAGUUUCGAAACUUCUGAAGGGCAACACCCUGGUAAGAUUUUAUCCUGCCACACGGCUUUAGGUUCUCUGGCAGGUGGGCUCCCCCAGGACUGAUGGCUGUCCUUUGCAUAUGACCUGACGGACUGGUGUGGGGAGUCUUCUCCCUGGGGAAUGUCUGAGUAUGGGGGGAGGCAGCUGCAGGUGACAUCCCUAGCCACGGCCACACCUCCCGCUGGGGCCGUCCCCUCCGAUCGUGUGUCUGUGAGCUGAGGUUUAUGCUCUGGGACUUUGCAGACCUCAGGCUGCUGGAGUCCGACCCCGAGUCCAUCGGCCGCCACUUUGCUUCCAACAGCAGCUCGGUGGCAGCCGCAAUCCUGGUGCCUUUCGUCGCCCUCAUCAUUGCAGGCUUCGUGCUGUAUCUCUACAAGCACAGGAGAAGACCCAAAGUUCCGUUCAAUGGCUACGCCGGCCACGAGAACACAAACGUUCGGGCCACAUUUGAGAACCCAAUGUACGACCGCAACAUCCAGCCCACAGACAUCAUGGCCACCGAGGCGGAGUUUACAGUCAGUACAGUGUGCACAGCCGUAUAGCCACCAGGCCUGGCUGCCACCGCCGCCGCCACCGAGAGCCCCGCCUCCGGCAGCCGUUGUCCAGGGGACAGGCCGUCAGCCCCCUGAGCACAGUGCCCGGUGCCCAUCUUCGUCUGUCUCUCUGCCCGUGUCUGCUACUGCUGGGACUUGGGUCCUCACCCCGCCACCACCUGCACCCGCCACCCCAGAGAAGACUCCCGCUGGGCCCCGACUUCGGGGCAGUACAGGAAGAGGGGCUGCAGAUGGACACAGGAAGCUUAUGGAUUUAAAACAGCAAAGCAUCUUGUGGCUGUGGGGGGGGGAGGGGGCCCGAGCACACACAGACACACAUGCCUCUCCUUCAUUUGAGUCCUGCGAAGAGACCGCCGAAGUUUAAAAAAGAGAAAUGUGUGUGAAAGAUGCCCCCCCGCCCUGCUCCCCACAAACACAGAGAAGAGGUGAAGAGGAAGCUGCACGCCCCGCCGGCCCUGUGUGAGGAGGCGGCGAGUGUGUUAGGUGGUCAGUGUGUAGAAACCAGCCGUCCGCAACUGGCUGUUCUCCUGCAAAAGUGACAGCAAGGAUUACCCCAAGGGCAGAAAAACAUCUUAAGAAGUACUUUGGAAAUCAGUUUAUUUUUUCCAACAGAAUUUUAUUGAGUUCUAAACCCAGUGAGUUAAAAAGUCAUUCUGGGUCCUAGGCAGCACUGGGGAAGGAAGGGUGGGUCGGGGGACGUAGAGCAGGAAUCUGGCCUCGAGUCUAAGGUCAGGUCUGGCUGUCAACUGACAAAGAAGAGAAGCGAGGCUGUAGCCCAGACGGAGAUGCCGAGUCGGCAGCAUUGGGAAGGUGCUGAUACAGCAGAGCAGGCCUAUCCCAGUGUCCAAAAACUCAUGGCUGCCUUGUGUUGAGUUUCUUCUCUGUGCCUGACACUUUAGGUGUAUCAUUUCUAGACCUUACAACAACCCAAAAUGUAGGAAUCGUUAUUCCUGUUUUAUAAAUGAGAAAACAGAAGCCCAGAAAGGUUGAAGAGACGUAAGCCACACCGUAAGUGUGGAGUCAGGAUGCUAACCCAGGUGGGUCUGACCCCAAAGCCCACUACACCAGCUGCCAGAAACCCAGGUCUAAAGGGGCACCAAAUACAGGGAGGAGCAGGUGAAUCUGUAUAGUAGGACUGUGGCCGGGGCUGGUGGGCCAGGCAGAGGACCUGUGUGUCCUGCUGGGCUCUUCUCCCUCCGUCUGGGCAGCCUCAGGGAAAGGGACCUCCUAGAGCUGGUGCUGCCCCCUUGGCCCCCAGCAGCCCCUGGCUACAGCAGACACAAGACCUGGGAGCUCCUGAACGGAAAGAACGGAGUGAAUGAAAGUCACAACCUCUCCAGCUCCUUGAGAGAAGAUUUGAUUAAUUCUGAGUUCCACUGUGCUUGGGUCCUUAUUGAAUUCCAUACAAGUAUUGUUGGGACACUAGCAAGUUUAGGAAUCAAACUGUGGCAUUUAGAGCCAUUUUCUCUGUCCUCGGGAAGGUCCCUAUGGGCUUAAGCACCUGUGCACGUGUGACAUGCUGGCCUGAGAUGUUCAUAUCACAUACUGAAAUAAAUCGAAAUGGAAGGGAGCGGAGUGGCAGGGACACCUGUUCUUAAACAGAUGAGACGAUCUGCCUCACGGUAAGAGGGGCCGAGUACAGCGAGAGGCGUCAGUUCCCAGCAGAUGGGACUGAGGCUGGCAAUGGCGGGAGCCCCGUGCCACCCACACCCGCUCUGGGUCACAGCGUCCCUGGGCUUGGCGGGAGAGGGCCAACUCAGCCACACACACUCACGCAUUCAUAUCUCUCUUUCCCGGAAACAAAUGCAGGAAGUUCUUUGGCUGCUCCCUUCCUCCCUUCUUUCACUCCUCCCAGACCAACCAGUGGACUCCUCCACCAGCCCUGCCUCCGCCCCCUCCCCUGUGUCCCCGCAGAUGCCCAAGGAGCACAUGCCAGGGGGGGCGCCCAGCACUCUGCUGUGCAUUACCGUUUCCCACCUCCGGCAUUCCUGCACCACCUCCAGAGGGUCGGAAGGAACCGGGCAGUCUAGGCCUUCACUCGCCAUCCACACCGUACACCCACCACCAUCCCAUGAGGAGGAAAAAAAAAAAAAAAAAAAGUAAAACAAAAACAAACAAAAAAA